Molecule: ribosomal RNA, 450 nt
Filed under: uncultured bacterium
Lineage: Bacteria
Description: partial 16S ribosomal RNA
Rfam family: Bacterial small subunit ribosomal RNA
Source: RNAcentral
AGCGAACAUUGGCGGUAGGCUUAACACAUGCAAGUCGAGCGAGGCGUAAUAGUCGAGCGGCGAACGGGUGCGUAAUACAUGGGAAUCUACCCUGAAGUGGGGGAUAACGUCCAGAAAUGGACGCUAAUACCGCAUAAUCCACAUUGGGAAAGCGUUGCAGCGCUUUAGGAUGAGCCCAUGGCUGAUUAGCUAGUUGGUGAGGUAAUGGCUCACCAAGGCGACGAUCAGUAGCUGGUCUGAGAGGAUGAUCAGCCACACUGGAACUGAGACACGGUCCAGACUCCUACGGGAGGCAGCAGUGGGGAAUCUUGCGCAAUGGGGGCAACCCUGACGCAGCCAUACCGCGUGAGUGAUGAAGGUCUUCGGAUUGUAAAGCUCUUUCGGCGGGGACGACGAUGACGGUACCCGCAAAAGAAGUCACGGCUAACUUCGUGCCAGCCGCCGCGGUAA